Xenopus laevis (African clawed frog) is the source of this 4526-nucleotide RNA transcript. It is a transcript of the gene named aminopeptidase O-like, with no coding region annotated. Lineage: Eukaryota; Metazoa; Chordata; Amphibia; Anura; Pipidae. The record is from RefSeq and is a predicted model, not a curated record. The transcript has 9 exons.
AUGGAAUCCUGUGCAGAGAAUUUGCCACUAAUGGCCAAUAAGGACCAUGUUCUUGUAAAGCAUUACGGACUGGAUCUUGAUGUAUGUUUUGACACUCAAACUAUCCCGGGCAGCAUUAUUUUGUUCCUGGAACCCAGAAAUAAGGAUGAAGGCCUAGUCUUUGAAGAACACUGUCAAUCACAACUGUCAAAAUACUUUUGGAACGAUGAGACACAUGACAAUAACCAGACUUAUGUGUUACCUGUAAGACCCUGCUCAUCAAACUCUGGAAACAAAGACACUGCUGUCUGUGUUAUAGGUGAAAUAGAUACUUCAUCGAAGUGUGAUCACCAUGGCAACAGGAAGCAGGCUUCUGGGAUUACUAGUUCAAAGAACUGCUGUGACAGAGGGAAUCAUGGGAGUGAGGAUUUUAUUCUUGUGUUGGACUGCUGUGAUUUAUCUGUGUUAAAGGUCGAAGAGGUGGAUGUCACUGCUGUGUUAGGUACUGAAAAAUGUAUGAGCUCUGCUCAGGCAAUUGGAAAAGAGCCUUUAAGUCUUAAUACUAGUAUUCUAUCUGUAAUUGAAGCUUUACCUGAAAGCCAAUGGAAAGAGCAGCUAUUUAAUUAUAUAAUUAAGUGUAGCAGGGCACUUGGAUGUGGAGAUCUUCCAUCACUGACAUGCGGAGGCUGCGAAUUAUCAAAACAGGAAUAAAAAUGCCCACCAACUUCCCCUCUGUCAUAAGGAUAUGGUACCAAACAACAACAAAUGGGAAUUCACUCAGUGAAGUGGACCAAACACCAAAGUGGAAGGCUCUGUGUUAACACCAUUUAAUCUCCUAGUAACAACAGGGCACUCUUUCCAUGUCAAGAGCCUCCAGUUACAAUGUCCACUUGCCAUUCAACAGUUCAAGCUGCCUUCCACUUUGUAGUUUUAAUGAGUGAAAAUCGUGUAAAGGGGGCAGCCAUUCAAGCUUGGGCACAACUAUUCACAUUCUGGGUGUGUGAUCUAAUUAGGAGAGCGACAAUGACAACCAGUGAAGAGUUGGUUGAACCUGUACUCUACGCAGUCAAGCAUUACAGUAAAGCACAUCGAUAUGUUAGAGUGACCAGGUCCUUGCUGUUGGAAAGCCACACUUGGAUAGGAUGCCGACUAGCUGAGCAAGAGGUCUUAAGGUGGAUCGGAUUCAACCUAAAAAACAAAAAAAGGCAGCAGCAGGAAAAGGCCACACAUUGAAGAGUUGGAUGAAAAGUGUCUCCCUGAUAGAUAUGUAUUGCAUUGUAUAGAAUUGCUGCUGGAAGAGAGAACCUUAUUCUUCAGAAACCUGCGUUGCUUAGAGAAUACCUACAUGCUGCAGAAUUAGGAUGCAGAGGUUCUGCAUAGAUGAUGUGAGCUGGUUGUAAAACAGAAAUACACUGCAGCCUACAAUGACAUUGAGAAGUUCCUGCAUGAGGACCAGGCAAUGGGUGUGUAUCUCUAUGGAGACUUAAUGGUGAACGAGGACGCCAGACAACAAGAAAUUGCACGCCGAUGCUUUGCUGCUGUAAGAGACAAGAUGGAUAUGUCCUGUGUAAAAGUUAUUGGAGAAAUGCUGUUUUGAUGGAUUUAAUUCUGUGACCUUAUGCUGUGUUUGGAUAUUUGCAGUCUGCAAUGCAUUUAAUGUAGAGGAGCUAGUGAGUCUCGUACUACGAUUAGAAUCAGGUCUAUGAUGUCAUGUACAUUAAGUCUCUUGCAUUUUAUAUAUACAAUCUAGUUUACUUGGGCUCAGAAAUUGAACCUAUGUAUUUCUAAACCUAAUUCUAAAGAAAUAUGCAACACAUAAUUCCAGAGAUUUUCUGUAUGCCAGGCAGAAUAAAAGGAAUCUGCAGGUGUACUAAUGUUUAUAUGGUCCUACAGAAUUUUUUUUUAAAGCAGAUUUUCUCCCAAACAUUUCCACUCUAUUUUCACAGUGGUUUUUCCAUAUACACUGUACUUUUGCGUGUGGUAUGCAGGUCUUCAGCAGAGCAAAAUAGUUAAGAUAGUUGUCUAAUGAAGUAACACAUUUGAUUUGCUUUUCCCUUGGACGUAUAACUUUCCUGACGUUCACAUCUUUCAUAAGCUAUAAAGGGAAAUGUGCUGGGCUGCUCACAAAUUCCACUUUCCUACAGUAAUGUGUGUAAUUUCAUAAGCGGCUCCAAAUGAUCUGUCAAAUGUAUAAUUAUCAGGACAGGAAUCCAAUUGGUUGCUAAGGUGUGCCACAGUUUCUGUAGUACAAACAUCCUCACUUGGGAGCCUUGUAGACCUUGGACUUAUGUUGUGCUAGUGAAGCCAUCUUUCAAUGAGUUCAGAUCUGAAUCCACUCUAGUGCUAGCCUAUAAAUGGCCCUUAAAUGCACACUUUAUGUCAUUAUGUGCUCUAGACUGUCUGUGUGCUCCAGACUCAAGUGUGCUUAAGCAGCUAUACAUUCCCUCCCUUGUCAGAUUUCAUCUCAUUGUGGUAAUGAGCAAACUAUAGUCAGGUGCAUAGAGUGAUGCUGACACCCAGCACCUUAGUUUAUUAGGCAGACCUACAGCUUCGACUUUAUGGCUGGAAGAAAAAGAGUGAACAGAAUCAAACCGCAGCACAAAGGUAUUUUCCUUUUGUAAGUAAUGGCUCUUCAUAUUUUUGUAUUUGCAAAGUAUUGAUUUUAUUAUAAUGUUUUUCUUCAAUCAGCCUUCCAUCUUUUCUGCUGAGUGUGCAAAUGAUGUUAUAAUGUGAUAGCUACCAGUCUGUGUUUUUGAACCUAUAAUUGCAUUAUAAUGGAAUGUUCUUUUAUUGAUUGGACCCUUAGUUGCAUUAAGAAGCAACUUAACCAUCCCUUCCUCCUACAGCAGAAUCUACAUGUGUUUAGCUUUCAAGGAGUUAAAGUACAUUUUACCUCAGGUAAUUGGUAUGAUGCCCCGUGGAUAUUGUAACUGCAUUUUAUACCCCCCUCUUAGAUGAACAUUUUUACUAUAGAUGGUGUGUGAAUGUUAUCUCCAUUGCUGCCGAUUUCCUGUUUCCUGUACACUGUGUGGAUUAAAACUCUCUCUUGCUGCCACCGUCCAGGCAUAGAAGCAGCUGUACAGCUGUGGGAGAAGCAAUACUGUACGGGGUCACUUGCAAAACAACAGAACUCAAUUACAUUGCGUGGAAUUUGAAAGGCGGCAUCACGUUCCAGACUUUGAAAAGUUUUGUACUAACGGUGUGGCUGUUUGGGUUCCUGGCAUGCUGAUUUGUGAGUUAAGAUUAAAAUCACAUUGCCAGGGAUUACCACACAACCAUGUCCUUGGCAACCCUCCUGGAAACACUAGCUGUUUUUCCCGAAAAGCACACAAAUCCGAAAAGGCGUCUCCAGGAAGCAAGAGGAGCCGCACAAAUUCUCCCAUGGAAUGUGAUCCGGCACUUAACAAGGCUCACACAGUGACCUUUCUACCAAGGUGCAGAGCUUAGCUGAUUGGUGAACAGUGAUUGAUUUCCUCUUUGUUCACAGUGGCUAAGUUCUGCACCUGAAGAGAGGGCGAGGGGAAGGUGUUUGGCUUCAUCACUGCAGAAUUUAUCAUGCGUUUUUAACAGUAAUCCUUUAUUUACAACUUUUCUUCCAAGAGGAACGGCAGAAGCAAUUUUAGUUGAUUUUUUUUAAAAAAUUUAAUGUAAGGUUGACUAAGGUCCAAAGUUACAUCAGAUUGAUUAAGUGAAUCUGUUAUGGUCAACGGAAGAGCUUUAUAAUAACUAAAUAUAACAUUUGGUGAUAUAUGUGUUCUUUACCCGUGUAUUUUUGUGCACACGGAGGAAUGCAACUUCCUAAUAUGUUCUCGGAUUUGGUACGUUAUUCAAUGUGGCUGGACCUGAUGCUGUUCUACACAUAUGGUGGACCUGUCCUCUUGUGCCUACUGAACUGAUAUCAGUUCUAUCUUACACACUGGCUCAGUUCAGCAGGAACAGGAGUCUGGCCCUUGAGCAAAGCGCUGACAACUCUCACAAAGUCCACAGAAGUACUAAUAAGGGGUACAAUUCUGCGCCAAUAUUUGUUUCCGGGCUGUUUAUCAUUAGUCAUCGGAAUGAGAACGCUGCUGUGUCAUCACUGGAAGCUCACACCAGCAUCUACAGUUGUUAAAUUGACUUUUUUUUACGUUAAUGCAGUAAAUGUUUCUGCAUGAAGGGUUUGAGUGGCUCAAUAAACAUAAUGAUAUAAAUGCCUAUCAUUUUCUCAUGCAUUUCUGAGUACUGUAGGCUCAUUACCUUUGUUCUUAGUAUGGUGUGUGUUUUUCUUCCUCUGAAAUUUUUAUACAGUACAGUUUUCUUUUACAUCUUUCUUGCAUACGUCUUGUUUGUCCAAUCAACUACGAUAUCAUUAAAAAUGUAAAACAUACAAGGCAGUUCUGCUAUUGUUUGUUAUUAUGUUCAAACCAAAGUGUAAAAUAACAUUUCUGCCCAGAUUUCCCCUUCAUUUUAUAUGCAUACUGUGCAGGAGAUCUCUUUUAGAAUAUUCAACAGUUUAUUUAUGGGAACAUAUGUUUGUGAUAAAUAAAGAGCUUCUAUUUUUUAAAUUU